Molecule: long non-coding RNA, 441 nt
Organism: Lolium perenne
Lineage: Eukaryota; Viridiplantae; Streptophyta; Magnoliopsida; Poales; Poaceae
Source: RefSeq, a predicted model, not a curated record
UCGGGUGGUGCUCCUAGCGGACAAGCCGGUGUAGAGGAAAAGGAUAAGGCUUUCUUGCAGCAAAGGGGAUCCGAUGACCCCAUCCCCUUCUCUGAGUUUCUAUCGCGUCGGCGGCUGCCGGUGGUCUGGGCUAUUCUCUCCACCGCGCCUCCUUCCGGGGCCGUGCCUGCGCUAAGCUUUUUCCUCCGGUGCUCCCCCGGGGUCAGAUCCAGCCGAUAUAUUUUUCAAUCCGUGCCUGCGCUCACCUUUUUCGUCCGGUCCUCCUCCGGGACAAUUCCAGCCUAUUUUCCAAUCCUUCCUUUUUCCUCUCUUUAAUUCAUGUACGCAGCAGAUUUCGCACCAAUCAAUGGUGUGGUACUUGAUUCACCUUCCUGAUAUUCCGUGUAAUUUCCAACGUAUAUAAACCGGUGGCAAUCGUUGGAAGGGAACGAUGUGGGACUA